CUGCUUUUGUCUUAAUAUCUCUAUCGUGCGAGACAAUCCAUCCAAUCUCUCUCCAUCUUCAUUUCUUCUCUUCCUCAAACGAAGUCCACACACUCUGCUCACGCCAACCUUGAGAUCUUCAAUCAAGCUACUUCUCUCCACUAGUUGCUGUCCCCCGCCAGUCAACUCUCCUCACUGAAGACUGAUCGAAGCCCCGUCUACGAUUUGCUUCUCUCUCGCGCUGCCACCGAAUCCCAAAGUCCAACAUCUUCGUUCAUGCCUUGCCAACAGCCACGAAGACCUGCAGCCACGCCAACCAGCUACUUCCUCGUCCACGAAGACUCCACCGUUUGUUGCAGCUCCAGCUUUCCUCCACUUUGUUGCCACGAAGACUUCCACUACCGCAACCUUGGUCAGCUUCAUCAAGUUGUUGACCCUUGAAGCCACGAUCCACCGAGAAGCCAACAAAUUGAACCGCCAGCAGUUGCAACUCCUUUCAUCCGCGCGUCCCUCAGCCUCCGCGCAUCCGACUUGCUCCGUGGGUCAAACUCCAGCAACAAGCUUCGGUUUGUUGACCGAAGACCCCACGACGCCAACGAAGAAGCCCAGCAACCUUCUUCUUCAGCCACGCGGCCAAGCUGCAGCUUCCACGGUCAACUCCAGCAAGAACCGUCCCACUUUGUUGAUCUCGUGAAGCUGCCACGUCGGUGCUAAUGCACUCCAUGAAGACCCCAAGCUGCUCCCUCGUUCGCGCCUUCUGCCCACGAAGACCCAAGUUCCACGCAGCUUCAAUUUUCGUGAAACCUUGCUGACCGAAGACCAAGGCCAGCGAAGCAGCGUCCACGAGCAGCUUCCGUCUUCAGUCUUCUCCAGCGGCAUGCCCUCAGCCUUCACGAAAUUGUCGAGGCCCAUCUCUGCCUUGUGCGGCCCGUCUUCAUCAGCCCAGCAGCUCAUUUGAAGCCACCGAACAGCCCAGCUCAGCAGCCCAUGUGAUCUUCAGUCCAACAAACUAGCUGAAGACAAGCCCUGCAGCAAGCCCAGCCCGUGAGCUUCAGUCCUUUGGGCCACCGAAUUCAGCACAAGACCAGCAAGCCCAGUUCAGCUAGCGCAGUUAGUUCAGUCCAGAAAUUCAGCAGGUCCAGCCCAUUCCAGUGCAAGAACAAAUCUCAAUUGGGCUGAGAUUUGUUGGGCCCAAGUCCAAAGCCCGGUCCAAGUCUGCCGGUGUCGUCGAAAGUCCGAUUUCGGCCACCGUCGCGUUGCCGUCGCGGUGAUUUGAUCCCCGCUUUUGUCAAGACCCUGAGGAGAAUCUAAGGAAGAGGAACCUGAAGAGGAGAAAGACUUUUGAAGAAGAAGAAGAUCCAGAGAGGGAUCUUGAAUAUAACCGGAUGUGGACUGAGAUCCAUCCUUUUUGUAAACCCUAUCUUAGUAUAGAUAGGUGUGAGACAAGUAUGUUGUGAAUAGUAUUGUAAAUAUACUAUGAGUUGUGCUGUUAAUGAAAGUGUGGUUGUGAAUUUCAAUAUGAAAAA
This is a long non-coding RNA of Eucalyptus grandis, 1505 nucleotides long. RefSeq lists it as uncharacterized. The record is from RefSeq and is a predicted model, not a curated record. Lineage: Eukaryota; Viridiplantae; Streptophyta; Magnoliopsida; Myrtales; Myrtaceae. The transcript is spliced from 2 exons.